GAACGCUGGCGGCAUGCCUUACACAUGCAAGUCGAACGGCAGCACGGGUGCUUGCACCUGGUGGCGAGUGGCGAACGGGUGAGUAAUACAUCGGAACGUACCCUAUCGUGGGGGAUAACGCAGCGAAAGCUGUGCUAAUACCGCAUACGCCCUGAGGGGGAAAGCGGGGGAUCGAAAGACCUCGCGCGAUUAGAGCGGCCGAUGCUUGAUUAGCUUGUUGGUGGGGUAAAAGCCCACCAAGGCGACGAUCAAUAGCUGGUCUGAGAGGACGAUCAGCCACACUGGGACUGAGACACGGCCCAGACUCCUACGGGAGGCAGCAGUGGGGAAUUUUGGACAAUGGGGGCAACCCUGAUCCAGCAAUGCCGCGUGAGUGAAGAAGGC
This 384-nucleotide ribosomal RNA is filed under the name uncultured bacterium. RNAcentral's name for it is "bacterial SSU rRNA". It matches the Rfam family "Bacterial small subunit ribosomal RNA", at positions 31 to 415 of the family's 1533-position model. The record is from RNAcentral.